AACAUUGCACUGUAAAAAUAUGAUUAAUUUUAUUCACUUCAUCUGUCAGUGGUUUUAAUAUUGUGAUUGGUUGGUUAAUUGAACCGUUGAAGCGGAAGAGCAAUAGAACUGAUGUAGUAUGUUUUAUUACUGCCCUUAAACAAUAAACAGUACAAAUAGUUCAUUUAGAUAGUUAAUAAAGAGUAAAGAGUUUAGGUUGGACAAAAUUAAUCUGAAACAUUAAAGGACCUUUGGAUCUAUUUGGCCAGAGAAAAUAACUUUCAGCACUUUUAAAAUACAAACUUAGCAACAAGAAAAUGCUGAUUAACAAUACAGAAAACAGCAAAAGAUCAACCACCGGUGAAGCACAGACAACUAAUUAGAGCCUUCUGUUUUUCCAUCAUCUGCAAGGCUUUGUUCCAUCUCGCCUGUGCAGAUUCAUGCAUUAGUUCUGACGAUGGAUUUCUGGUGCCAUCAAGCCAUGGCAGCCUGCAUGACCAAAUCCCUGUUUGUUUUCUCCAGGUGUCUCAGUGAUACCAACCCCCUUCUGGUCCCUGACAUACAGUGACUCAUAGUGCUAUGCUGCUGGGCCAAGUGCUGGAAAAUAAUGGUUUCCUCUGCAAUUAUCAACAAUUAUCUUCAGCUUGUGUGAGUACUAGUGAAUUCCCAGCUGCCACAGGGAUCAGUCAGCUCUCUGCUGCUCAGCCUGCAGUGGACCACUUUCAUAGAUUUUAGAUAAAAAAUAUAUGGAAAGUAAAAAUCCAGAAGGCUUUAAUUCACUGGGUACUGUCGGACAGAUCCACAAGGAUUAUGACCCGGUUAAUUGGUGCUGAGAUGCAAUGAGACAGUUACAUGGUUCAGGAUUCUAAACCAGCUGGAGCGCAAAGCAAUUAAUUUACAGCCUGAAAAACUGAGUAUACUGAAACAUAUGAGAAGGACCACAGAGGAUAUAAAGUAGGUAAUUAAUUUAUGUUCUUCUCAAAGUCUCAGCAGUACACUGAAAUGAGCUUCACAAUGGAGCUUAAUUCCAAGGGGUUCAGUAGCUGUGGCAAAGAGGAAGGAAGUGGAGAAAGUCCGAGAUGCAGAGUGCAAAAGUGGUGUAAUGCGGUCUGUUCAGCCCCGUGAAGAUUUGCAUCCCAUCUCCACCCCUUCACCACUGCUGCCAUGAUAUUUGGCCAUCUUCAAUCAAAUCCUCCAAAUUUCAGUUUCCUUUCCAUGCAGUCAGCAUCACUCCUCAUCACCACCACCAGUGUUAAGCCUCCGGGGGAAAGUCUCCUUCAUAUGGAAGUUUCCUGUGGUGAUGUACUUCCUGCUGGGGUCUCAGUGCCAAAGUCUGUUUUGCUUUUCACAAUACAUUCAUUUUACUUGAAUUGUCACAUUCAUUUUCUUUCGUGUUAGUCUCUCCUGACUGAAGCGGUACCAACUAACCUUGAGAGAUCUGAUAAUAAAAUUGUGAGAAAAAAUAAAACGCUCCAGUAUCCUUUCCUUGUUUCUCUGUUGUUUUUCACUCAGGAGCAGCCUCAAUGCGCAAUGCGUUUUAACAUUUGAGUUGUUUCAUGUAAACUGUAUGCUGGCUGAUUACACUUUUUUGGUUUGUCAACAUACUUCCUUCCUGAAAAACAAGCAUUUAUGUGAAUAUUUAAAAAGAAGUUUGUUUUUUUUUCCUGACAGGCGUGUAGUGAUUUUUUCUUAUUUUAUAAGUUUAUUUUAACUCUGCCUUCGCUUGCGAGAUUUGUUAUGUAAAAAAGGGAUCAAAUAGCUACAUUAAAAGACAGUUCUCAUGUGUUCUAAGGUUCAUA
Scatophagus argus is the source of this 1778-nucleotide long non-coding RNA. RefSeq lists it as uncharacterized. The transcript is spliced from 3 exons. The record is from RefSeq and is a predicted model, not a curated record. Lineage: Eukaryota; Metazoa; Chordata; Actinopteri; Scatophagidae.